UUCCCCCCGCUUUUCUUCAAAGCGCAUAGACCUUUCGCCUUUUACUAAAGAUUUCCGUGGAGAGGCGGAACGGAGAGACUGAAGGUAAUUUUUGCAGGCCCCCUCGUAGUGGAGCCU
This is a small nuclear RNA of Ornithorhynchus anatinus (platypus), 117 nucleotides long. RefSeq annotates it as U5 spliceosomal RNA. NCBI's taxonomy places the organism in Eukaryota, Metazoa, Chordata, Mammalia, Monotremata, Ornithorhynchidae. The record is from RefSeq and is a predicted model, not a curated record. The transcript has a single exon.